Molecule: ribosomal RNA, 468 nt
Filed under: uncultured bacterium
Lineage: Bacteria
Description: partial 16S ribosomal RNA
Rfam family: Bacterial small subunit ribosomal RNA
Source: RNAcentral
GACGAACGCUGGCGGCGUGCUUAACACAUGCAAGUCGAACGGAAAGGCCCUGCUUUUGUGGGGUGCUCGAGUGGCGAACGGGUGAGUAACACGUGAGUAACCUGCCCUUUACUUUGGGAUAACUUCAGGAAACUGGGGCUAAUACCGGAUAGGAGCUCCUGCUGCAUGGUGUGGGUUGGAAAGUUUCGGCGGUUGGGGAUGGACUCGCGGCUUAUCAGCUUGUUGGUGGGGUAGUGGCUUACCAAGGCUUUGACGGGUAGCCGGCCUGAGAGGGUGACCGGCAACAUGGGGACUGAGAGACGGCAAAGACUCCUAAGGGAGGCAGAAGUGGGAAAGAUGGAACAAUGGGGGGAGGAAUGAUGCAGCAACGACGCGUGCGGGAUGAAGGGCCUCGGGUUGUAAACCCCUUUUGCCUGUGACGAAGCGCGAGAGAAGGUAAUGGGUAAAGAAGCACCGGAUAACUACGUG